This 91-nucleotide transfer RNA is filed under the name Candidatus Peregrinibacteria bacterium CG1_02_54_53. Its description in RNAcentral is "tRNA-Ser". It matches the Rfam family "tRNA". Rfam says of the family: Transfer RNA (tRNA) molecules are approximately 80 nucleotides in length. Their secondary structure includes four short double-helical elements and three loops (D, anti-codon, and T loops). The record is from RNAcentral. Lineage: Bacteria; Candidatus Peregrinibacteriota.
GGAGGGAUGGCCGAGUGGUCGAAGGCGCACGACUCGAAAUCGUGUAGGCCCCCAAAAGGUCUCGAGGGUUCGAAUCCCUCUCCCUCCGCCA